Molecule: ribosomal RNA, 218 nt
Filed under: Clostridioides difficile
Lineage: Bacteria; Bacillati; Bacillota; Clostridia; Peptostreptococcales; Peptostreptococcaceae
Description: partial 16S ribosomal RNA
Rfam family: Bacterial small subunit ribosomal RNA
Source: RNAcentral
CUACUCUCAGUUCGGAUUGUAGGCUGAAACUCGCCUACAUGAAGCUGGAGUUACUAGUAAUCGCAGAUCAGAAUGCUGCGGUGAAUGCGUGCCCGGGUCUUGUACACACCGCCCGUCACACCACGGGCGUUGGAGACGCCCGAAGCCGAUUAUCUAACCUUUUGGAAGAAGUCGUCGAAGGUGGAAUCAAUAACUGGGGUGAAGUCGUAACAAGGUAG